CGCUGGUGCUCCGCCGCCGCCGCCUGAAGUGGACAUCGGUGGGGAAGGGCUCGCCGAACUCAUUCACCCGGCUGAUACAACAAGAAUUGCUGUGCCAAAGAGAACUGCAGAGGUUUGCAGAGUGCAAAAGAGAGGAAAAGUAGAAAAGGAAUUCUGUGACCAGAGUGCCCUGCCAUUUCCCCACAACAAAUAAGGGAAGAAAAUGACAUUUCUAAGUAGAGGGCGAAUGCUGAUUUGCCAAGGUUUCCCUACCUCAGUCCUUCCUAUUUAGAAAAUGGCAAAGCCAGUAAUUUCCUUCUCCAUCAGGAAGGAUCAGGAGAGUGAGGUUCUAUAGCCAACAAGUCAGCUGAAAAAAGGAGAUAAAGGAAAGGAUACAAAAAGCUGAAUGUGUUGCUUCUCAGCAUCACUGGACACAAAUGACCUAUGGAAUAUUUAUCAGAACUAUUGUCCCAUCAGGCAACAGCUACCCGGAGCCUUUAAUGCUCCUUAACCAUUGCUUUUCUUCUUUU
Long non-coding RNA from Pogoniulus pusillus (Red-fronted tinkerbird), 509 nucleotides. RefSeq lists it as uncharacterized. The transcript has 3 exons. Lineage: Eukaryota; Metazoa; Chordata; Aves; Piciformes; Lybiidae. The record is from RefSeq and is a predicted model, not a curated record.